UACAGAGGUCUCGAGCGUUAGGCGGAAUCACUGGGCUUAAAGCGUGUGUAGGCGGACCGUUAAGUGCCUUGUGAAAUCCCACGGCUCAACCGUGGAACUGCUUGGCGUACUGGCGGUCUUGAGCAACCUAGGGGCGAGCGGAACAAAUGGUGGAGCGGUGAAAUGCGUAGAUAUCAUUUGGAACGCCAAUGGUGAAAACAGCUCGCUGGGGGUUUGCUGACGCUGAGACACGAAAGCCAGGGGAGCAAACGGG
This 253-nucleotide ribosomal RNA is filed under the name uncultured bacterium. RNAcentral describes it as "partial 16S ribosomal RNA". It matches the Rfam family "Bacterial small subunit ribosomal RNA", at positions 524 to 776 of the family's 1533-position model. The record is from RNAcentral.